UACGUAGGUGGCAAGCGUUGUCCGGAAUUACUGGGUGUAAAGGGAGCGUAGGCGGGAAUGCAAGUUGAAUGUAUAAACGGUCGGCUCAACCGGCCGAAGCGUUCAAAACUGCAGUUCUUGAGUGGAGUAGAGGCAGGCGGAAUUCCUAGUGUAGCGGUGAAAUGCGUAGAUAUUAGGAGGAACACCAGUGGCGAAGGCGGCCUGCUGGGCUUUAACUGACGCUGAGGCUCGAAAGCGUGGGUAGCAAACAGG
This 252-nucleotide ribosomal RNA is filed under the name uncultured bacterium. RNAcentral's name for it is "partial 16S ribosomal RNA". It matches the Rfam family "Bacterial small subunit ribosomal RNA", at positions 524 to 776 of the family's 1533-position model. The record is from RNAcentral.